CACAUAGUCUGUGCCAAAAGCCAAUUAAGAUAGAAAUGUUGUAUCUUUUUCUGGCUGUUCAGUGCAGGAGAAAGUCGGGACAUUUCAGUAACAAACUCGGGACUUCAGGUUGAGCUGUCAAUAUCGGGACUGUCUUAAACUAUAUGGGAACAUUAAUGUUAAACUUUUAACAUAAUUAAGGAAAACAAUGUGAAACUUUUGCACAGCUGAGUAGUUCUUCAAUACUAUGGAAUGCUGAAAUUUAAUUUGGCAGAUAGGUAGGUGAACCUGUACUCAGGUUUUGUAGGCAAAUGGAACAUAAUCAAGUUAAGCAUUCUUCAAAUGUCUACUUAUAAUAUGUUUUGUCCUUUACAACAAUGCACAGUACUAAGGAAUAAGACCAUCUCAUUGUUCAGACUCGCAGGACUGUGUUUUGGGCUAUAUGAAUGGCACAUAGAACCCAACCUAUGUUUCAGAAAGCUCACAAAUACCAAAAUCUAAUUGAUUGAAUGGUGGGGCUAAUGUUAUGUGUGUAUGUAUAUUUUUUUUCUAUAGCGCUACUUAUAUAUAAAUACAAAGUACACUUACAUUUUAAGAGCUUAGUCAAAGAGACAAGAGGUAGGAGAUCCCUGCCCUGUAGAGCUUACAAUCUAAGUGUGAACAAAAAGUAGAUAUUGUCCUGCUCCUCCUGGAUAGGAUGACCGUUCCUAAAAUGUUUAGUUGCAUUCUGUGUCCAAAUAUAUUAUAUGUGAUAACAUGAAAUAACUGCAGACACAGUUACACAGAGACAGAGUCCCGAAGUGAAGUUGUUGAAAAGAAUUGGUGAAUGUGUUAUUGUUUUACUUUUGUUUAUUUGGGAUGCAUCAAAUAGUGUUUUUUUUUUUUUUUUACAUAGGUUGUGUUCUAUCACACAAUUCCAGCUUCCAAAUCUAGAUCACAUUAUUAGUGAUUUUUGCUUGUGUGCCUGUGCUGUUCUCGUGCAGAGUUUAGAGACUUUCUCACUUCCAUUGGUGGCCCUACCACAUCACUUACCAAGAUUCUCGGGUCAACUUCCCCCACCUUAUUUCAAUUCAAGAGUAAAAGAGCCUUGGUAAGAGCAGACGAAACCAGCUAUGUCUGACUCCCUGUCCAGGGCAAGAGUAUAAAGUAAGACCUGGACCUGAAUUGUGACAUUUUAUUUGUGUUGCAGAGGAAAUCAAACUCUUUUUUUCCCAAAACUUUUUUAUUGUAUUUCCAAAGGUAAAUAAAAUAUAUUAAAAUGGUGAA
Molecule: long non-coding RNA, 1245 nt
Organism: Xenopus laevis (African clawed frog)
Lineage: Eukaryota; Metazoa; Chordata; Amphibia; Anura; Pipidae
Exons: 2
Source: RefSeq, a predicted model, not a curated record